RNAcentral lists this ribosomal RNA (400 nucleotides) under uncultured bacterium. Its description in RNAcentral is "bacterial SSU rRNA". It matches the Rfam family "Bacterial small subunit ribosomal RNA", at positions 355 to 755 of the family's 1533-position model. The record is from RNAcentral.
UGAGGAAUAUUGGUCAAUGGGCGCAAGCCUGAACCAGCAAUGCCGCGUGUGGGAUGAAGGGGCUCUGCCUCGUAAACCACUGUCGGACGGGACGAAAAGGGGUAUAAACCCCUGGGACGGUACCGUCAAAGGAAGGGUCGGCUAACUACGUGCCAGCAGCCGCGGUAAUACGUAGGACCCGAGCGUUGUCCGGAUUCACUGGGUAUAAAGGGUGCGUAGGCGGUCAUGUGCGUCAGGGGUGAAAUAUCCGGGCUCAACCCGGAGGGUGCCUUUGAUACGGCGUGACUUGAGUGCGAGAGAGGAUGAUGGAAUUCCUGGUGUAGCGGUGAAAUGCGUAGAUAUCAGGAGGAACACCGGUGGCGAAGGCGGUCAUCUGGCUCGUAACUGACGCUGAGGCACG